This 87-nucleotide transfer RNA is filed under the name Asterophora parasitica. Its description in RNAcentral is "tRNA-Pro". It matches the Rfam family "tRNA". Rfam says of the family: Transfer RNA (tRNA) molecules are approximately 80 nucleotides in length. Their secondary structure includes four short double-helical elements and three loops (D, anti-codon, and T loops). Lineage: Eukaryota; Fungi; Basidiomycota; Agaricomycetes; Agaricales; Lyophyllaceae. The record is from RNAcentral.
GGCCUGAUGGUCUAGUAGUAUGAUUCCUUGUUAGGGCACGCGAGUGGCAUUUCGAGGAGGUCCUGGGUUCAAUUCCCAGUUAGGCCC